AUUGAACGCUGGCGGCAUGCCUUACACAUGCAAGUCGAACGGUAACAGGUCUUCGGAUGCUGACGAGUGGCGAACGGGUGAGUAAUAUAUCGGAACGUGCCCAGUCGUGGGGGAUAACGCAGCGAAAGCUGUGCUAAUACCGCAUACGAUCUAUGGAUGAAAGCGAGGGAUCGCAAGACCUCGCGCGAUUGGAGCGGCUGAUAUCAGAUUAGGUAGUUGGUGGGGUAAAGGCCCACCAAGCCAACGAUCUGUAGCUGGUCUGAGAGGACGACCAGCCACACUGGAACUGAGACACGGUCCAGACUCCUACGGGAGGCAGCAGUGGGGAAUUUUGGACAAUGGGCGCAAGCCUGAUCCAGCAAUGCCGCGUGCAGGAUGAAGGCCUUCGGGUUGUAAACUGCUUUUGUACGGAACGAAAAGGCUCUGGUUAAUACCUGGGGCUCAUGACGGUACCGUAAGAAUAAGCACCGGCUAACUACGUG
RNAcentral lists this ribosomal RNA (482 nucleotides) under uncultured bacterium. Its description in RNAcentral is "bacterial SSU rRNA". It matches the Rfam family "Bacterial small subunit ribosomal RNA", at positions 30 to 507 of the family's 1533-position model. The record is from RNAcentral.